This 429-nucleotide ribosomal RNA is filed under the name bacterium. RNAcentral's name for it is "partial 16S ribosomal RNA". It matches the Rfam family "Bacterial small subunit ribosomal RNA", at positions 355 to 776 of the family's 1533-position model. The record is from RNAcentral.
UAGGGAAUCUUCCACAAUGGACGCAAGUCUGAUGGAGCAACGCCGCGUGAGUGAAGAAGGUUUUCGGAUCGUAAAGCUCUGUUGUUGGUGAAGAAGGAUAGAGGUAGUAACUGGCCUUUAUUUGACGGUAAUCAACCAGAAAGUCACGGCUAACUACGUGCCAGCAGCCGCGGUAAUACGUAGGUGGCAAGCGUUGUCCGGAUUUAUUGGGCGUAAAGCGAGCGCAGGCGGAAGAAUAAGUCUGAUGUGAAAGCCCUCGGCUUAACCGAGGAACUGCAUCGGAAACUGUUUUUCUUGAGUGAAGAAGAGGGGAGUGGAAUUCCAUGUGUAGCGGUGGAAUGCGUAGAUAUAUGGAAGAACACCAGUGGCGAAGGCGACUCUCUGGUCUGCAACUGACGCUGAGGCUCGAAAGCAUGGGUAGCGAACAGG